Molecule: long non-coding RNA, 488 nt
Filed under: Elaeis guineensis (African oil palm)
Lineage: Eukaryota; Viridiplantae; Streptophyta; Magnoliopsida; Arecales; Arecaceae
Description: long non-coding RNA (EGUI_LNC074223)
Source: RNAcentral
CCUUCUGAUGGCCCUAAGCCAUCCCUCGAGGUCAAAGAGGGGCUGAGAGGAUGGAUCCUCAUCGUGCCGCAAUACGAGAUACUUCAUAUAAUCCGUCUAUACAGUUUAAAAAUUUAUUAAUCCAUAUAUAUUAGUAUAUAUAAAAAUUUAAUAAAUAAUAUUUUAAAUUAUUACUGUAAUCUAUCGAGAUCGAGGAUCUAAGUAAUCAUCAAUCCUCCUAACUGGUGUGUGGCCUCCCAUAUCUGCAGCUGUUCUGACGCAUGAUCCAGCUACCGUAUCUACAAUAAAUAAAUAAUAAAAUUAAAUUAAUUAAAAUAUACAUAUAAUUAAUUCAAUAUGAAAUUAAUUUAAGUGUAAAAUUUUUAUCAAUCUAUCGGCCACAACAUAUAUGCCAAUAAAGCCAUCAGUGUGCUCGAUCGGAUGCUGCUAGAUGGAUCGACUCUGUCAUGCUCUUUACCGCCUAUCAGAGUGCUCCUCAGUAUGCCACU